Molecule: ribosomal RNA, 591 nt
Filed under: uncultured Bacillus sp.
Lineage: Bacteria; Bacillati; Bacillota; Bacilli; Caryophanales; Bacillaceae
Description: bacterial SSU rRNA
Rfam family: Bacterial small subunit ribosomal RNA
Source: RNAcentral
CCUACGGGAGGCAGCAGUAGGGAAUCUUCCGCAAUGGACGAAAGUCUGACGGAGCAACGCCGCGUGAGCGAUGAAGGCCUUCGGGUCGUAAAGCUCUGUUGUUAGGGAAGAACAAGUAUCGUUCGAAUAGGGCGGUACCUUGACGGUACCUAACCAGAAAGCCACGGCUAACUACGUGCCAGCAGCCGCGGUAAUACGUAGGUGGCAAGCGUUAUCCGGAAUUAUUGGGCGUAAAGCGCUCGCAGGCGGUCCUUUAAGUCUGAUGUGAAAGCCCACGGCUCAACCGUGGAGGGUCAUUGGAAACUGGGGGACUUGAGUGCAGAAGAGGAGAGCGGAAUUCCACGUGUAGCGGUGAAAUGCGUAGAGAUGUGGAGGAACACCAGUGGCGAAGGCGGCUCUCUGGUCUGUAACUGACGCUGAGAGAGCGAAAGCGUGGGGAGCGAACAGGAUUAGAUACCCUGGUAGUCCACGCCGUAAACGAUGAGUGCUAAGUGUUAGAGGGUUUCCGCCCUUUAGCGCUGCAGCAAACGCAUUAAGCACUCCGCCUGGGGAGUACGGUCGCAAGACUGAAACUCAAAUGAAUUGACGGGG